GUGGGGAAUAUUGCGCAAUGGGCGAAAGCCUGACGCAGCAACGCCGUGUGGGUGAUGACGGUCUUCGGAUUGUAAAGCACUUUAAGUUGGGAGGAAGGGCAGUAAGCUAAUACCUUGCUGUUUUGACGUUACCGACAGAAUAAGCACCGGCUAACUUCGUGCCAGCAGCCGCGGUAAUACGAAGGGUGCAAGCGUUAAUCGGAAUUACUGGGCGUAAAGCGCGCGUAGGUGGUUUUGUAAGUUGGAGGUGAAAUCCCCGGGCUCAACCUGGGAACUGCCUCCAAAACUGCAUGACUAGAGUACGGUAGAGGGUAGUGGAAUUUCCUGUGUAGCGGUGAAAUGCGUAGAUAUAGGAAGGAACACCAGUGGCGAAGGCGACUACCUGGACUGAUACUGACACUGAGGUGCGAAAGCGUGGGGAGCAAACAGGAUUAGAAACCCUGGUAGUCC
RNAcentral lists this ribosomal RNA (450 nucleotides) under uncultured bacterium. RNAcentral describes it as "partial 16S ribosomal RNA". It matches the Rfam family "Bacterial small subunit ribosomal RNA", at positions 354 to 796 of the family's 1533-position model. The record is from RNAcentral.